AGUGAACGCUGGCGGUAGGCCUAACACAUGCAAGUCGAACGGCAGCACAGUAAGAGCUUGCUCUUACGGGUGGCGAGUGGCGGACGGGUGAGGAAUACAUCGGAAUCUACUUUUUCGUGGGGGAUAACGUAGGGAAACUUACGCUAAUACCGCAUACGACCUACGGGUGAAAGCAGGGGAUCUUCGGACCUUGCGCGAUUGAAUGCGCCGAUGUCGGAUUAGCUAGUUGGCGGGGUAAAGGCCUACCAAGGCGACGAUCCGUAGCUGGUCUGAGAGGAUGAUCAGCCACACUGGAACUGAGACACGGUCCAGACUCCUACGGGAGGCAGCAGUGGGGAAUAUUGGACAAUGGGCGCAAGCCUGAUCCAACCAUACCGAGUGGGUGAAGAAGGCCUUCGGGUUGUAAAGCCCUUUUGUUGGGAAAGAAAAGCAGCAGGUUAAUACCCCGCUGUUCUGACGGUACCCAAAGAAUAAGCACCGGCUAACUUCGUG
RNAcentral lists this ribosomal RNA (492 nucleotides) under uncultured bacterium. RNAcentral describes it as "partial 16S ribosomal RNA". It matches the Rfam family "Bacterial small subunit ribosomal RNA", at positions 29 to 507 of the family's 1533-position model. The record is from RNAcentral.